This 434-nucleotide ribosomal RNA is filed under the name uncultured bacterium. RNAcentral describes it as "bacterial SSU rRNA". It matches the Rfam family "Bacterial small subunit ribosomal RNA", at positions 70 to 507 of the family's 1533-position model. The record is from RNAcentral.
CAUGAAGUAGCAAUACUUUGAUGGCGACCGGCAAACGGGUGCGGAACACGUACACAACCUUCCUUUUAGUGGGGAAUAGCCCAGAGAAAUUUGGAUUAAUACCCCGUAACAUAACGAUGUGGCAUCACAUUGUUAUUAUAGCUUCGGCGCUAGAUGAUGGGUGUGCGUAUGAUUAGAUAGUUGGCGAGGUAACGGCUCACCAAGUCUACGAUCAUUAGCUGAUGUGAGAGCAUGAUCAGCCACACGGGCACUGAGACACGGGCCCGACUCCUACGGGAGGCAGCAGUAAGGAAUAUUGGUCAAUGGACGCAAGUCUGAACCAGCUAUGCCGCGUGAAGGAUUAAGGUCCUCUGGAUUGUAAACUUCUUUUAUCUGGGACGAAAAAAGGUUUUUCUAAGCCUCUUGACGGUACCAGAUGAAUAAGCACCUUCGUG